CAUGCAAGUCGAGGGGCAGCAUCAUCAAAGCUUGCUUUGAUGGAUGGCGACCGGCGCACGGGUGAGUAACACGUAUCCAACCUGCCGACAACACUGGGAUAGCCUUUCGAAAGAAAGAUUAAUACCGGAUGGCAUAAUUAUUCCGCAUGGGAUAAUUAUUAAAGAAUUUCGGUUGUCGAUGGGGAUGCGUUCCAUUAGGCAGUUGGCGGGGUAACGGCCCACCAAACCUACGAUGGAUAGGGGUUCUGAGAGGAAGGUCCCCCACAUUGGAACUGAGACACGGUCCAAACUCCUACGGGAGGCAGCAGUGAGGAAUAUUGGUCAAUGGACGAGAGUCUGAACCAGCCAAGUAGCGUGAAGGAUGACUGCCCUAUGGGUUGUAAACUUCUUUUAUACGGGAAUAAAGUGAGCCACGUGUGGCUUUUUGUAUGUACCGUAUGAAUAAGGAUCGGCUAACUCCGUGCCAGCAGCCGCGGUAAUACGGAGGAUUCGAGCGUUAUCCGGAUUUAUUGGGUUUAAAGGGAGCGUAGGCGGGUUGUUAAGUCAGUUGUGAAAGUUUGCGGCUCAACCGUAAAAUUGCAGUUGAUACUGGCGACCUUGAGUGCAACAGAGGUAGGCGGAAUUCGUGGUGUAGCGGUGAAAUGCUUAGAUAUCACGAAGAACUCCGAUUGCGAAGGCAGCUUACUGGAUUGUAACUGACGCUGAUGCUCGAAAGUGUGGGUAUCAAACAGGAUUAGAUACCCUGGUAGUCCACACAGUAAACGAUGAAUACUCGCUGUUGGCGAUAUACAGUCAGCGGCCAAGCGAAAGCAUUAAGUAUUCCACCUGGGG
RNAcentral lists this ribosomal RNA (831 nucleotides) under uncultured bacterium. RNAcentral describes it as "bacterial SSU rRNA". It matches the Rfam family "Bacterial small subunit ribosomal RNA", at positions 54 to 878 of the family's 1533-position model. The record is from RNAcentral.